This is a long non-coding RNA of Homo sapiens (human), 539 nucleotides long. NCBI's taxonomy places the organism in Eukaryota, Metazoa, Chordata, Mammalia, Primates, Hominidae. The record is from Ensembl.
GAAGGGAAUAAAAGCAGGUUACCUGGGCCUGCAGUGGUUAUCUGGUCAGUGUUUGGGUCUGUGCUGCUGUAUGUAUGUGAGCUGUAAUACUCACUGUGAAGGUCUUCAACUUCACUCCUGAAGUCAGUGAGAUCACGAGCCCACCAGAAGGAAGAAACUCCACACACUUCUGAACAGCUGAAGGAACGAACUCCGGACACACCACCUUGUAGAACUGUGACACUCAUGCCUUAAAAAGGAUAUUCUGUCAUGUGUGGCAAGAUGGAUAAACCUGGAGGACAUUACGCUCCAGUGAAACGGGUACUGCAUUUUGAUAAAUUGAAGGUUUGUGGAACGCUGCAUUGAGCAAGUCUAUUGGUACCAUUUUCCAACAGCAUGUGCUCACUUCAUGUCUCUGUGCCACAUUUGUGCUCCCAAAGCUUGCUGGCACAUAAACAUGAAUGAAUGAACAAUGUAGAAUUCACUCAAGAAAUUUCAAGGAGAGAGAGGAGGAGAUUUACAUCACACAGCAAACAACCUAAUAAAUCUGUUAAACGCCA